CCUACGGGAGGCAGCAGUGGGGAAUAUUGGACAAUGGGCGAAAGCCUGAUCCAGCAAUGCCGCGUGAGUGAUGAAGGCCUUAGGGUUGUAAAGCUCUUUUACCCGGGAUGAUAAUGACAGUACCGGGAGAAUAAGCCCCGGCUAACUCCGUGCCAGCAGCCGCGGUAAUACGGAGGGGGCUAGCGUUGUUCGGAAUUACUGGGCGUAAAGCGCACGUAGGCGGUUAUUCAAGUCAGAGGUGAAAGCCUGGAGCUCAACUCCAGAACUGCCUUUGAAACUAGAUAACUAGAAUCAUGGAGAGGUGAGUGGAAUUCCGAGUGUAGAGGUGAAAUUCGUAGAUAUUCGGAAGAACACCAGUGGCGAAGGCGGCUC
This 372-nucleotide ribosomal RNA is filed under the name uncultured bacterium. RNAcentral describes it as "bacterial SSU rRNA". It matches the Rfam family "Bacterial small subunit ribosomal RNA", at positions 338 to 727 of the family's 1533-position model. The record is from RNAcentral.